CUGAACUUAAGUUUGCCUCAAUUUUCUUAUUUGGGAAAUGGGACUAUGAGUCCUUUCCUCAGGACCAGGGGAGAUGGAGUCCAUAUGGUUCUCUGAGCAAAAGAGGCCAAGAGAACAUGCACUGCUAUUAUUUUUGAGAAGGGAAGAUCGAGGCUCAGCAUAUCAUGAAGCUGACAAAGUAUGAAACUGGUUACAAAGUCAGGUCUUUCUGAUUCAAAUUGCCUCAUGCCUCCUUGGAUGUUCGUGGAGAAUCUCCUAUAUGCCAGGUGUUGCCCUCAAUAGAAGUGAUGCUCCUUCAAUCCUGUCUUGGCAUCUGCUUCUUGGUACACAGGGUAGAGGUAAACAAGAAAGAAGGAAGGAAAGAAGAGAAAAGAAAAAUAAAGAAGAGGAGAAAAGAAAAGGAAAUGAAAGGAAAGGAAAGAAAAGAAAAGAAAAGAAAGGGAAAGAAAAGGUCUGGGCUUCCAGUCGAUUGUGCUCACUGAGCUAAUCCUGAGUCAUCUUGGGUUGAAGGGUCUCUGCUCUGCAAACUCAUCCAUUUAUAGGCCUUUGCUGGGUUUGGUUUGGUAAUUCACUAUGGAGCUCCCUUUAAGUAAACCAGCAGCGCACAAGCUCCAGUGCUGUUGCGGCUAAGCCAAGGGGGACGGUGUCCC
This 650-nucleotide long non-coding RNA is filed under the name Vulpes vulpes (red fox). RNAcentral describes it as "lncRNA (ENSVVUG00000023305.1)". The record is from RNAcentral. Lineage: Eukaryota; Metazoa; Chordata; Mammalia; Carnivora; Canidae.